Molecule: ribosomal RNA, 571 nt
Filed under: Alexandrium margalefii
Lineage: Eukaryota; Dinophyceae; Gonyaulacales; Pyrocystaceae
Description: partial Archaeal large subunit ribosomal RNA
Source: RNAcentral
CCCGGUAUCAGUCUGUGUAACUGUCAUAAGGCCAUAGAGGGUGAGAGCCCCGUACACUUAAGAGGUGAAACAUGGCAAUUGGUGUUGUCGGUCGUAAGGCCGGUAUGACCCGUAUUUUUACGGAAGAUGGGCAGGCGCUGCCCGUAACGGUAAUCGAGGUUGAGCCCAACCGCAUUACCCAACUGAAAACUCUUGAAAGCGAUGGCUACCGCGCCGUACAGGUGACUGUCGGUACUCGUCGUUCCUCUCGUGUUACCAAGAGCGAAGCGGGCCACUAUGCCAAGGCGGGCGUUGAAGCCGGUCGUGGUAUGUGGGAAUUCCGUCUUGCCGAUGGCGAAGGUGAAGACCUGGCCGCCGGUGGCGAGAUCACGGCUUCUGUAUUCGAAGACGGUCAGGUGGUUGAUGCCAUCGGUCAGUCCAAGGGUAAGGGCUUCCAGGGCGGUGUAAAGCGCUGGAACUUCUCCAUGCAGGAUGCCACUCACGGUAACUCUCUGUCUCACCGUGCUCCGGGUUCCAUUGGUCAGAACCAGACUCCGGGCAAGGUAUUCAAGGGCAAAAAGAUGGCGGGCCA